CCCACGUUCUCCUCCUCUUCAGUUCGCUCCCGUGCGGUCUCUUCGCUCCGUUGGCCCCGUCGGUGCCGACGCUCUCAUCUACUGGACUCGACCGAUCGAACUGUGCUUUUUAUGGCCGUUUUCUGCGGAAUUUCGCCUUCUUGGGAUUUGGUGAAGUCGUCUAAUUGUAUAUGUUGGUGACUUGAAGAUACAAUAGGUGAAAUGCCUAAUGAGCUUUUACCACUUUGUACGACAUUGGAAGAAAUUUGUGCUGUUAACUAUUACAGCACAAUUUGUGGGGCUCCACAAGGUCUUUGAGAUGAAGGCUGUGAUUGAUCAAAGACAAAGAUCCAGCAUGAAGCUACCAGGUUUAUUUGAAGGUACUCCUGGUAGUGUUUUCUAUGUGCUAAUCUUAUCCAUGACCUAAGAAUUCAGGCUGGCAGCAGCAACUUGGCAUAUUCUAUAGUGGACAUUUGUAUCAAAUCCCUAUGCUGAUAUGCGAAGUCAAUGAAUUGAAUCUGCAUCAUUGCCUCUUAUUUUGAUAGGUUUUAAGUUAGCAAUGCAAUUGAUUUACUU
Musa acuminata AAA Group (dessert banana) is the source of this 555-nucleotide long non-coding RNA. RefSeq lists it as uncharacterized. NCBI's taxonomy places the organism in Eukaryota, Viridiplantae, Streptophyta, Magnoliopsida, Zingiberales, Musaceae. The transcript has 3 exons. The record is from RefSeq and is a predicted model, not a curated record.